AGCUGGUGCUUUCUUUUUGCUUUGUCCUGUGUUGUUAGAGAUGUUUGUGAGCUGCAGAAUUCUGUGUGGUUAUUUGAGUAAGGAUUAAAACGGUAGAAGUCAAAGAUAUUUCAAUAUGUUGAAAUAUCACAGAAUAUAGCCCUAAAUCAAUCAAGUUGAAAACUGUCAGAAACUUAAAUCAGCCAUGUAGGAGGGCCUGGAGGGCUUUUUCUCUCCCCAGGAUAAAUGUGUUUCACAUGGUGACAGACACCCUAAAUCUGGAUUGUUGUUCCACAGAUUAUUUACCUUUGUGGCUCUUCAUCUCUAAAUGGAUAAAGAACCAAAAAUAUCUGCCCUUGGUGAAUCCCAAAUAAUAGAGGAAGGUUAAUGAGCUGAUCAGGAGGGACCUGAGUGGGAAUCAGUUUGCAGGAGCCUAAAUCAGAGUGGCUGUCAGAGGGCACAAGGAGUGUCCAGAGUGGAGUUUCUCAUGGCUGUGCCCUUACUGUGAGGAUGAAAUGUUGAUCUUUAUCAUGUCUGAGCUAUCUGCAGAAUCUCCUUCCUGACUGCUGAGCUUUCUGAACAUAUCCUGCAGCACUGGCACAAAAAAAAAGUUCUAUUUUCUAACUUGGAAAGAUCCAUCCCACCCAGCACUGCAGGCUUUGGAGAAGGUCACAGCCACCAACUUCUUGUCUUCAUCCUGGACUUCAUCCUUCAUGCUGGAGCUGGAGGAAGCUCAAUGAUAAUUUAUAUCAGGAGCUAUAAAUCCCCAGACCACAGGAAAUGGCAUCAUCAAUUUCCAUCAAUUUUACUGCUGCACAAAUAAUGUGCUGCUAUAGUUCUUCCACAGGACAUCAGGGAACAAAUCCACAGCACAGCCCCAACCCCAGAGCAAGCCCAGAGCACAGGAGAGGCCUUUCCCAAGGACUUUCUUCUGGAUAAAAGAGGAAUGAUUCCCAGAUGAUGUUUUCCUGGAUGGAGGAUGCUCGGACUUCCUUUAUUCCGAAAAUAUGAAUUAUUCUAAAGCUCCAAGUGCUGCAGUGUGUGUGCAUCUGUGUUUGUUGGGAAGUCAAAAUACAAACAGUGGAGAGGAUAUCCUCAUUUGUUUUCCAUUCCAGUUUUUAAGUGAUAUGUUAGGAAG
Molecule: non-coding RNA, 1117 nt
Organism: Cyanistes caeruleus (blue tit)
Lineage: Eukaryota; Metazoa; Chordata; Aves; Passeriformes; Paridae
Source: RefSeq, a predicted model, not a curated record